This 275-nucleotide ribosomal RNA is filed under the name uncultured bacterium. RNAcentral describes it as "partial 16S ribosomal RNA". It matches the Rfam family "Bacterial small subunit ribosomal RNA", at positions 399 to 691 of the family's 1533-position model. The record is from RNAcentral.
GCGUGAGUGAAGAAGGCCUUAGGGUUGUAAAACUCUUUCACCCGUGAAGAUGAUGACGGUAGCGGGAGAAGAAGCUCCGGCUAACUCCGUGCCAGCAGCCGCGGUAAUACGGAGGGGGCUAGCGUUGCUCGGAAUUACUGGGCGUAAAGCGCACGUAGGCGGCUAGCCAAGUUGGGCGUGAAAGGCCUGGGCUCAACCCGGGAACUGCGCUUGAGACUGGCUGGCUAGAGUCCGGGAGAGGGUAGCGGAAUUCCCAGUGUAGAGGUGAAAUUCGU